Molecule: ribosomal RNA, 485 nt
Filed under: uncultured bacterium
Lineage: Bacteria
Description: partial 16S ribosomal RNA
Rfam family: Bacterial small subunit ribosomal RNA
Source: RNAcentral
UUGCACGCUGGCGGCAUGCCUUACACCUGCAAGUCGAACGGCAGCACGGGUGCUUGCACCUGGUGGCGAGUGGCGAACGGGUGAGUAAUACAUCGGAACAUGUCCUGUAGUGGGGGAUAGCCCGGCGAAAGCCGGAUUAAUACCGCAUACGAUCUACGGAUGAAAGCGGGGGACCUUCGGGCCUCGCGCUAUAGGGUUGGCCGAUGGCUGAUUAGCUAGUUGGUGGGGUAAAGGCCUACCAAGGCGACGAUCAGUAGCUGGUCUGAGAGGACGACCGGCCACACUGGGACUGAGACACGGCCCAGACUCCUACGGGAGGCAGCAGUGGGGAAUUUUGGACAAUGGGCGAAAGCCUGAUCCAGCAAUGCCGCGUGUGUGAAGAAGGCCUUCGGGUUGUAAAGCACUUUUGUCCGGAAAGAAAUCCUUGGCCCUAAUACGGUCGGGGGAUGACGGUACCGGAAGAAUAAGCACCGGCUAACUACGUG